AUUUUGUUUCUCAGAUCAGCUACGGAACAUUUCAUGCAUGGCACAGGAUGCAGUUUUUACAUCAAGUAGUCCUCAACAAUAACCCUCUGACAACUAUCGAAGAUCCAUCUUUUUUUAAAUUACCAGCAUUAAAACACCUGAAGGCAAAAGCAAAAUCCUCAGACAUCUGUGAAGUGCCUGCUGCAGUGCAGGGUGUUUCCAGGGUGACCAUCUCUCUUCUCCUGCAGAGACUUGGAAGCAACACAUGUGCCCCAUGCAGUGCUGGAGAACAUCCUCACCAUGACUCUGGAGUUGCAAAAACUGCAAGUUAUUUUUUCUAGAUUUAUUUUACUUUGUUUUCAUUGUAUUACAUUUGUUUUACUACUCUUUUUUCUUUUUUUCCUUUUUGGUGGGGGUGUUGAGACAAGCUCUCACUGUGUAGCCCAGGCUGGCAUAGAACUUGUAGCAAUCUGCCUGCCUCAGCUUCCCAAGUACCAGGAUUAAAGGCAUGUGGGCCACCAAGCGGGGCCUGUUUUACUAGUUUCUUAAGUCAGGUUCCUGGAGGUCUAACUACCAUUUAGUAAAAUUCAGUCUUCCCUUGUAGAGUUGGGUGAAUGAGAACAGUGGUGUAGCCCUCACUGUUCUCCUGCUGAUUUCCCACUGGCAGCCCUGAAAACAGCCAGUCUUUCCUGCGGACCACAUAGUUUCACUUUCCCAGCAUAGUGUACAGAUGGAUGGCACAGUAGUGGUCUUCCCUGUCUCCCUUUUGUUCACUUAGUGUAAUAUUUAGUACAUCCUGGCAGCGAUGUGUGAGGACUGCAAUUGCUGCCGGACAUGGUGGCCCACACCCAUAAUCCUAGCACUCUGGGAGGCUGAAGCAGGAAGAUCCUGUGAGCUGGAGCCCAGCCUGGGCUCCAUAGUGAGGUUGAGGGCUGCUUGGACUAGAGAGCAAGAUGCUGUCUCAAAACUGAAACGAGACUCUGUGCUUUUUGUACCUUGGAUACACAUCCUUUUUCAUUGGCCAGUGUUCAGUAAAUAUCUUUUCUCUAGUCGUGGGUUCUCUUUUCUGAAGAACAGAAAUUUUAAAUUCUUAAACUUUGGUAGAGUAUAAUGUAGCAGGUUGUUCUUGCUUGAUUUGUGCUUUUCUGUGUCUUCUGAGAAAUAUUUGUCUAAACACACACUGUCUACCCACAGUGCAAAGGUUUUCUUCUUUUGUUCCUCCCAGAAUUGGAUAGUUAGAUUUAGGUCUAUGGCAGCCUUUUGAGUUUUUCUUUCCUUUUUUUGGGUACUGGGGAUCAAACUCAGGACCUUGAGUUUGGGAGGCAGGCGGCAGAAAAACUGAGCUAAAUCCCCAGCCCUUGAGUGUUCUUUCUGACUCAAGGUCUCAGUUGCUGGUUUCCCUGGCUGGGAGGGAAUUUGGGUCUCCAUGUCAGCCUGAGUACUGAGGUAAGAAGUGUGUGUGUGAUGCAGGCAGGGGUCAUUUCCAUGUGUGAGGUGUUUAUUGAACUGCAGCUUCUGUGGGGCCCAUGGUGACGGCUGCGUGUCCCAUGACUGCCCUGGCCCACACUGGCCAGGCUCAGGAAAGAGAAACUGGAGGUGCAAGAGCUGAGGGGAGGGAGGCCACGCAGCUCUUGUGGGAAGAGGCCUGGCCAGCAGGCUGCUUGGGUCCUGCACCUGUCACCUCCCUGGCUGAUGCCAUGUGCACACCCCUGGGUUUCCGAUCUGUGCUCCUCCCAGAGCUCCUGCAACCCCACACUCAGACCCUCCCAACCUGCUGCCUGCCCUUCCCCAGUCAGAGCUGCCUCCCCAGCCAUUCUCCAGGGGUCCUCGUGGUGGUGAUGGUCCUCUUCAGCACCAGAGAAAUAACCCAGGGGUAAGAACUUGAGAUCAGUGAAGAUCCGACCUUAAGCAUCUUCCUAUCCAUCUGCACAUCUGCCAUGACCCUUGUCUGAUCCACUGUUACACGGGUGACUGUCAAAUGACAGUUUCCAACUCUGGCUUUCCUUCUUCACUUGUUAGCUGCCACUGCUCUAUUAGAGAAGUCACACUUUUCUUUUUGAGGAUCAUUAUGAAUUUGCAGGUUCCUCUCCACAUUACAUUUUCCCCUUUUCUCUCUCUCCCUUCCUUCCUUUUCUACUCUGUGGUUCUGUGGAUCAAACCUGGACCCUCAGGCAUGCCAGGCAAGCUCUCUGCCCUGAGUUGAGCCCCAGCCCUUCUCACAUGUUGAAUGCUCACAGGGGCCUGAUUUGACCCUUGCAGUCUCUGCAGUUGCUGAACAGCACAAUGUAGGUAGAACUGAAAUGUUUUUCUGCCCAGAGGAAGGUGCAGUGUUUCCUCCUCCUAACGGCAAUGAGGACAGGGCCUCACUGAGACUGCACAGAAGGCUGUUGUCUCCCUGUGCAUGCCCAUCACAGCCAGCCCUUCCAGCAGGGAGAGAUGGUCCUGAACGAAGCUGCACAUUGGCCCCAGAGCCCAUGUCCGACCUUUAUUGUGGGCCUGGCUUAGCCUUCUGUGGGGCACCUUGGCCUCCUUCCUGAGGAUCCCCAGUGUUCCUGAACAGCACUCUGCCCCCAGGUGCCCACCCAGUGCCAGGCCUGGCCAGACUCAGAGCUCCUUUCUGCAUGGCCCUGGGGCCUGGCCUGUGUCUCCUGCCACUGCAGGAGCCCUUUUGCUAAUUUGCUUCUCUGUGCUCUGCCCGCAGGAUCUUGCUGAGCCACAUGGCCUGCUGCCUCUGCCAAAUUAAGAGUGAUAUCGAGGUUGUGUGCCUGACAGUCAAGCUGCACUGUGACAGCACCUGUCUGUCCAACACCAUGCAGUGCCAUGAGUCUCCUGAGAAACCUGAGAGCCCACGGUGUCACUUUUAUUUGGUUUUCACUUUUUGAUCUUGAGCUGGAAGAGUUACAUGUUUAAGUAAUGGUGUCCUUGCUGUAGUUGUCCUCAUGCAGCCUGAAUUUCUAGGCUGCUGUUUUGGUGCAAUCACAUUCUCAGUUCUUGUCCAAGGAUUUAAGCAGACCACUGUGGCAGAUGCGCAAGGAACAAGAAUGAGAAAUGGAAGGAAGGGAGCAGGUUCUCAGCCACAGACCAUGUGCUGCUCUGCUCGGUGUCCUCCUUGAUUCCUCCGUCCUGAGGCCCAGUGCAGUUUGAUGGCUAGCUGUGUGUGCAGAGGCUCUCCAGUGAUGCUGCCUCAUGGGGCAGCUCUCGAUCUAUUUGGUUUUGUGUUAUUUUUCAGUUUUAUUAGAUGAUAAGGGAUGCCAUUCUAUGUGGAGCUGGGAGUUUCUGAUUCCACAACUGAAACUGCUCCCGGC
Non-coding RNA from Heterocephalus glaber (naked mole-rat), 3284 nucleotides. The record is from RefSeq and is a predicted model, not a curated record. NCBI's taxonomy places the organism in Eukaryota, Metazoa, Chordata, Mammalia, Rodentia, Bathyergidae.